This 264-nucleotide ribosomal RNA is filed under the name uncultured bacterium. RNAcentral's name for it is "partial 16S ribosomal RNA". It matches the Rfam family "Bacterial small subunit ribosomal RNA", at positions 793 to 1055 of the family's 1533-position model. The record is from RNAcentral.
GUCCAUGCCGUAAACGUUGGGCACUAGGUGUGGGGGACAUUCCACGUUUUCCGCGCCGUAGCUAACGCAUUAAGUGCCCCGCCUGGGGAGUACGGCCGCAAGGCUAAAACUCAAAGGAAUUGACGGGGGCCCGCACAAGCGGCGGAGCAUGCGGAUUAAUUCGAUGCAACGCGAAGAACCUUACCAAGGCUUGACAUGAACCGGAAACACCUGGAAACAGGUGCCCCGCUUGCGGUCGGUUUACAGGUGGUGCAUGGUUGUCGU